AUUGAACGCUGGCGGCAUGCCUUACACAUGCAAGUCGAACGGCAGCACGGGGCAACCUGGUGGCGAGUGGCGAACGGGUGAGUAAUGCAUCGGAACGUGCCAUUGAGUGGGGGAUAACGUAGCGAAAGUUGCGCUAAUACCGCAUAUUCUGUGAGCAGGAAAGCAGGGGGACCGCAAGGCCUUGCGCUCUUUGAGCGGCCGAUGUCAGAUUAGCUAGUUGGUGAGGUAACGGCUUACCAAGGCGACGAUCUGUAGCGGGUCUGAGAGGAUGAUCCGCCACACUGGAACUGAGACACGGUCCAGACUCCUACGGGAGGCAGCAGUGGGGAAUUUUGGACAAUGGGCGCAAGCCUGAUCCAGCCAUGCCGCGUGAGUGAAGAAGGCCUCGGGUUGUAAAGCUCUUUCAGCAGGGACGAAAAUGACGGUACCUGCAGAAGAAGCCCGGCUAACUACGUGCCAGCAGCCGCGGUAAU
This 473-nucleotide ribosomal RNA is filed under the name uncultured bacterium. RNAcentral describes it as "bacterial SSU rRNA". It matches the Rfam family "Bacterial small subunit ribosomal RNA", at positions 30 to 524 of the family's 1533-position model. The record is from RNAcentral.